GAGUNNNUAGAGGGGGGUAGANNCAGUGUAGCGGUGAAUGCGUAGAGAUCNGAGGAAUACGNNGCGAGNNGCCCUUGACGAAGACUGACGCUCAGUUGCGAAGCGUGGGGAGCAACAGAUAGAUACCUGGUAGUCCANNCGUAAACGAUGUCGACUGGAGGUUGUGCCCUUGAGGCGUGGCUUCGGAGCUAACGCGUUAAGUCGACGCUUGGGGAGUACGGCCGCAAGGUUAAAACUCAAAUGAAUUGACGGGGCCCGCACAAGCGGUGGAGCAUGUGGUUUAAUUCGAUGCAACGCGAAGAACCUUACUGGUCUUGACAUCCACGGAAGUUUUCAGAGAUGAGAAUGUGCCUUCGGGAACCGUGAGACAGGUGCUGCAUGGCUGUCGCCAGCUCGUGUUGUGAAAUGUUGGGUUAAGUCCCGCAACGAGCGCAACCCUUAUCCUUUGUUGCCAGCGGUCCGGCCGGGAACUCAAAGGAGACUGCCAGUGAUAAACUGGAGGAAGGUGGGGAUGACGUCAAGUCAUCAUGGCCCUUACGACCAGGGCUACACACGUGCUACAAUGGCGCAUACAAAGAGAAGCGACCUCGCGAGAGCAAGCGGACCUCAUAAAGUGCGUCGUAGUCCGGAUUGGAGUCUGCAACUCGACUCCAUGAAGUCGGAAUCGCUAGUAAUCGUGGAUCAGAAUGCCACGGUGAAUACGUUCCCGGGCCUUGUACACACCGCCCGUCACACCAUGGGAGUGGGUUGCAAAAGAAGUAGGUAGCUUAACCUUCGGGAGGGCGCUUACCACUUUGUGAUUCAUGACUGGGGUGAAGUCGUAACAAGGUAACCGUAGGGGAACCUGCGGCUGGAUCACCUCCUU
Molecule: ribosomal RNA, 865 nt
Filed under: uncultured bacterium
Lineage: Bacteria
Description: bacterial SSU rRNA
Rfam family: Bacterial small subunit ribosomal RNA
Source: RNAcentral